Molecule: small RNA, 452 nt
Filed under: Arabidopsis thaliana (thale cress)
Lineage: Eukaryota; Viridiplantae; Streptophyta; Magnoliopsida; Brassicales; Brassicaceae
Description: ATSL283360
Source: RNAcentral
AAUUCAAACAAGAAAGAUUUUUCGUUUUGGCGAUUCAAUAAAACUGGAGCUGAAAUCAAAAUUCUUUCUAGGGAUAUAAAGAGUUUGUUGGAUUCAUCUCUUGAAAAAUUCUUUAAAAGCAAAUCAGGGAACUAGACGAAGAUUUUAGCGGAAGUAGCUCAAAAAGCAAAAGCAUCCAUGAAAAUUGCUAUGGUAGAUGAAUCACGAAAAGCUGAAAAAGCUCUGAUCGCUAGUAAAUAGUAAUAAUAGAUUGAGUCUAGUUGAUCAGAAGAAACUUGCACAAGUUAUCAAGGUGGUGGUCGAAAUGGAGGAUGAACUCGAGGAGAAGGUUCAAAAAGUCGAGAAGAUAAACAGAAAGGUAGAUGAGAAGAUGAAGAAGAAGGCAAAGAAGAGACAUUUUUCGUUUUUGGUUUGUUGAAUGUUGAUUCGUCUUCAGCUAUCAUAUCAUGUCG